RNAcentral lists this ribosomal RNA (492 nucleotides) under uncultured bacterium. RNAcentral describes it as "partial 16S ribosomal RNA". It matches the Rfam family "Bacterial small subunit ribosomal RNA", at positions 29 to 507 of the family's 1533-position model. The record is from RNAcentral.
AGUGAACGCUGGCGGCAUGCCUAACACAUGCAAGUCGAACGGCAGCACAGGAAGAGCUUGCGCCUACGGGUGGCGAGUGGCGGACGCGUGACGUAUACAUCGGAUACCACUUUUACGGGGGUGAUAACGUAGGAAAACUUACGCUAAUACCGCAUACGUCGUACGGGUGAAAGCACGGGUUCUUCGGGCUUUUUGCGAUGGUAUAAGCCGACGUCGGAUUAGCUAGUUGGCGGGGUAAAGGCGCAGCAAGGCGACGAUCCGUAGCUGGUCCGACAGGGAGGUCCGCUACCCGGGAACUGAGACACGGCCCAGACUCCUACGGGAGGCAGCAGUCGGGACUCUUACGCAAUGGGGGCAAGCCUAAUCCAGCAAUACCGCGUGAGUGAUGAAGGCCUUCGGGUUGUAAAGCGCUUUUGUUGGGAAAGAAAAGCAGCAGUUUUACCCGCGGCUGUUCUGACGGUACCGAAAGAAUAAGCUCCGGCUAACUUCGUG